RNAcentral lists this transfer RNA (74 nucleotides) under Phormidium sp. RNAcentral's name for it is "tRNA-Arg". It matches the Rfam family "tRNA". Rfam says of the family: Transfer RNA (tRNA) molecules are approximately 80 nucleotides in length. Their secondary structure includes four short double-helical elements and three loops (D, anti-codon, and T loops). Lineage: Bacteria; Bacillati; Cyanobacteriota; Cyanophyceae; Oscillatoriales; Oscillatoriaceae. RNAcentral also lists the same sequence under 4 other names. The record is from RNAcentral.
GGGCUUGUAGCUUAGCGGAUUAGAGCGUGUGGCUACGGACCACAAGGUCGGGGGUUCGAUCCCCUCCAAGCCCG